Chrysemys picta bellii (western painted turtle) is the source of this 473-nucleotide non-coding RNA. The record is from RefSeq and is a predicted model, not a curated record. NCBI's taxonomy places the organism in Eukaryota, Metazoa, Chordata, Testudines, Emydidae.
ACCCCCCAGAGAAUGGAGGGGACGCUAGUGGAACCCAGACCCCCCCUAGAGAGAGAAUGGAGGGGGCACUGGGGAGAGUGAGCCUGAUGCCUCCCCCAACACACCCAGGGAACGGCGGGACCCCGCUGCCCCACCUGCUCCCAAGCACGUGGAGUUUGUAGAGGAUCCUGGCCGAGGAUCCCUGUCAGGGUCUCAGUCCAUCUUACUUGAUUUCCUGGCUGCAUCUCAGAGGAUUUUCUUUCACUGCACCUAUAUCCAAGAGGAGAGAUUUAAGGAAGAGGGAAUGGGCAGAGAAGGUAAAGAAGAUAAAGACAGGAAAGGAAGAAAAGAUAAGCAACAGAAAGAAAUGUUAGGAUUUCCAGGAGGGAAGUUUACAAGGAAUCUCCAUACACCUCUAGCAACAUCUGACCCAGUCAUCUGUAAACCUGUUUCCUAAGGGGUUUCUGCUCCAAAAGAAAAUUUUGAAUUCUCCA